GAUGAACGCUAGCGGCAGGCUUAACACAUGUAAGUCGAGGGGUAGAGGCUUUCGGGCCUUGAGACCGGCGCACGGGUGCGUAACGCGUAUGCAAUCUGCCUUUCACAGAGGGAUAGCCCAGAGAAAUUUGGAUUAAUACCUCAUAGCAUAACACAACCGCAUGGUUGAGUUAUUAAAGUCACAACGGUGAAAGAUGAGCAUGCGUCCCAUUAGUUAGUUGGUAAGGUAACGGCUUACCAAGACUUCGAUGGGUAGGGGUCCUGAGAGGGAGAUCCCCCACACUGGUACUGAGACACGGACCAGACUCCUACGGGAGGCAGCAGUGAGGAAUAUUGGUCAAUGGGCGCAAGCCUGAACCAGCCAUGCCGCGUGCAGGAUGACGGUCCUAUGGAUUGUAAACUGCUUUUGUACGAGAAGAAACACUCCUUCGUGAAGGAGCUUGACGGUAUCGUAAGAAUAAGGAUCGGCUAACUCCGUGCCAGCAGCCGCAGUAA
Molecule: ribosomal RNA, 494 nt
Filed under: uncultured bacterium
Lineage: Bacteria
Description: partial 16S ribosomal RNA
Rfam family: Bacterial small subunit ribosomal RNA
Source: RNAcentral